RNAcentral lists this small RNA (28 nucleotides) under Bombyx mori (domestic silkworm). Its description in RNAcentral is "ovarian small RNA-5135". The record is from RNAcentral. Lineage: Eukaryota; Metazoa; Arthropoda; Insecta; Lepidoptera; Bombycidae.
GAGCAUCGUAGCCACGACGCGCGGCAGA